This 72-nucleotide transfer RNA is filed under the name Phormidesmis priestleyi. RNAcentral's name for it is "tRNA-Gln". It matches the Rfam family "tRNA". From Rfam's summary of the family: Transfer RNA (tRNA) molecules are approximately 80 nucleotides in length. Their secondary structure includes four short double-helical elements and three loops (D, anti-codon, and T loops). Lineage: Bacteria; Bacillati; Cyanobacteriota; Cyanophyceae; Leptolyngbyales; Leptolyngbyaceae. The record is from RNAcentral. RNAcentral also lists the same sequence under 1 other name.
UGGGGCGUCGCCAAGUGGUAAGGCACCGGGUUUUGGUCCCGGCACUCCUAGGUUCGAAUCCUAGCGCCCCAG